GAAAUGCGUAGCUGAUGGGAAGCUGGUUAAUAUUCCAGCACCUUUAUUUAAUGCGAUGUGGGGACGAAGGAGGCUAGCUUAUCCGGGUGUUGGAUGUCCCGGUUGAAGCGUGUAGACAUGCUGCCUAGGCAAAUCCGGGCGGCUAAGUUGAGGCGUGAUAACGAAACUCCUUAGGGAGCCAAGUAAGUGAUGCCCUGCUUCCAAGAAAAGCCACUAAGCUUCAGUUAAAUAAAGACCGUACCGCAAACCGACACAGGUGGGUGGGAUGAGAAUUCUAAGGCGCUUGAGAGAACUCGGGAGAAGGAACUCGGCAAAUUGACACCGUAACUUCGGGAGAGGGUGUGCCUCCGGUAUGUGUAGCAUCUUGCAUGCGAAGCAGAAAGAGGUUGCAAUAAAAUGGUGGCUGCGACUGUUUAAUAAAAACAUAGCACUCUGCAAACACGAAAGUGGACGUAUAGAGUGUGACGCCUGCCCGGUGCCGGAAGGUUAAGUGAUGGGGUGCAAGCUCUUGAUCGAAGCCCCGGUAAACGGCGGCCGUAACAAUAACGGUCCUAAGGUAGCGAAAUUCCUUGUCGGGUAAGUUCCGACCUGCGCGAAUGGCGUAACGAUGGCCACACUGUCUCCUCCCGGGACUCAGCGAAGUUGAAGUGGUUGUGAAGAUGCAAUCUACCCGCGGCUAGACGGAAAGACCCCGUGCACCUUUACUGUAGCUUUACAUUGGAUUUUGAUCAUGUUUGUGUAGGAUAGGUGGGAGGCUAUGAAAUAUGCUCGCCAGAGUGUAUGGAGCCAACCUUGAAAUACCACCCUAGCAUUAUCGAAAUUCUAACCUAGAUCCAUUAUCUGGAUCAGGGACCGUGUAUGGUAGGCAGUUUGACUGGGGCGGUCUCCUCCCAAAGAGUAACGGAGGAGUGCGAAGGUACGCUAAGUACGGUCGGAAAUCGUGCUGAUAGUGCAAUGGCAUAAGCGUGCUUGACUGCGAGACUGACAAGUCGAGCAGAUGCGAAAGCAGGUCAUAGUGAUCCGGUGGUUCUGUAUGGAAGGGCCAUCGCUCAACGGAUAAAAGGUACGCCGGGGAUAACAGGCUGAUUCCUCCCAAGAGUUCAUAUCGACGGGGGAGUUUGGCACCUCGAUGUCGGCUCAUCACAUCCUGGGGCUGAAGCCGGUCCCAAGGGUAUGGCUGUUCGCCAUUUAAAGUGGUACGUGAGCUGGGUUUAAAACGUCGUGAGACAGUUUGGUCCCUAUCUGCCGUGGGCGUUGGAAGUUUGAGUGGGGCUGCUCCUAGUACGAGAGGACCGGAGUGGACGCACCUCUGGUGUACCGGUUGUCACGCCAGUGGCAUCGCCGGGUAGCUAUGUGCGGAAGAGAUAACAGCUGAAAGCAUCUAAGCGGGAAACUUGCCACAAGAUUAGACUUCCCGGGAGUAUAACUCCCCUAAAGGUUCGUUGAAGACUACAACGUUGAUAGGUCGAAUG
This 1472-nucleotide ribosomal RNA is filed under the name metagenome. RNAcentral's name for it is "bacterial LSU rRNA". It matches the Rfam family "Bacterial large subunit ribosomal RNA", at positions 1404 to 2867 of the family's 2925-position model. The record is from RNAcentral.